Molecule: ribosomal RNA, 460 nt
Filed under: uncultured bacterium
Lineage: Bacteria
Description: partial 16S ribosomal RNA
Rfam family: Bacterial small subunit ribosomal RNA
Source: RNAcentral
CCUACGGGAGGCAGCAGUGAGGAAUAUUGGUCAAUGGACGCAAGUCUGAACCAGCCAAGCCGCGUGAAGGAAGACGGCCCUAUGAGUUGUAAACUUCUUUUGUACGGGAAUAAACGCAGAUACGCGUAUCUUUCUGCAUGUACCUUACGAAUAAGGAUCGGCUAACUCCGUGCCAGCAGCCGCGGUAAUACGGAGGAUCCAAGCGUUAUCCGGAUUUAUUGGGUUUAAAGGGUGCGUAGGCGGUCGGUUAAGUUAGGGGUGAAAGCCCGGGGCUCAACCGCGGAAUUGCCGUUGAUACUGGUAGGCUAGAGAGUAGUAGAGGUAGGCGGAAUGUGUGGUGUAGCGGUGAAAUGCUUAGAGAUCAUGCAGAACACCGAUUGCGAAGGCAGCUUACCAAGCUGCGACUGACGUUGAGGCACGAAAGCGUGGGGAGCAAACAGGAUUAGAUACCCGUGUAGUC